CAUUAAGAAGCUAUGAACCAGCACUAGCCUUUUAAGCUAGAGAAAGGGGAUAUUUCCCCCUUAAUGA
Molecule: transfer RNA, 67 nt
Filed under: Alectoris chukar (chukar partridge)
Lineage: Eukaryota; Metazoa; Chordata; Aves; Galliformes; Phasianidae
Also listed under: 1 other name
Description: tRNA-Lys
Source: RNAcentral